Non-coding RNA from Strongylocentrotus purpuratus (purple sea urchin), 46 nucleotides. The record is from Rfam. NCBI's taxonomy places the organism in Eukaryota, Metazoa, Echinodermata, Echinoidea, Camarodonta, Strongylocentrotidae.
CAAACAGUCCUUUUCAGGACUACCACACCCCCAAAAAAAGAUUACU